This is a long non-coding RNA of Suricata suricatta (meerkat), 599 nucleotides long. RefSeq lists it as uncharacterized. NCBI's taxonomy places the organism in Eukaryota, Metazoa, Chordata, Mammalia, Carnivora, Herpestidae. The transcript has 4 exons. The record is from RefSeq and is a predicted model, not a curated record.
GCCUGAGCCACGCAGGCAGGCACCGCCCUGGUUUCUUGGUCCUUUUGAAGUUUCCUGAGGUCUGUGUAACCCAGAAACACAAUGUUAAUGACCCUCUCAGGAAAGACCAAGGUUGACAUAGGAAAGAACGGUGGGUUUCUGGGUAUGCAGAAGACCAAAGAAAUCCAGGGCUCCUUUCUCUCUGAGCAACUGGAGAAUGGGGAGCCCCAAGAGCUAUUCACUCCACAGCACAACCCUUGGACACACUUGGCAAGUGUAAGCGAGAAGAUCUCCAUGUUUUUACUUGGCAUCAAAACACCCACCUCCGCGUCCUGCCCUCUGUCCCUAUAGGACCUCUGACCCCAUUGUGUGGCACGCAGCCUCCACACCUUGACUGGUCUGGUCAAAGGCCAAGGCUAUACUGAGUUUGGAGACGGGGCCUUUCAAAUGGCUGAAUAUGUCAUGUAAUUCAAAAGUAUUUCAGGUUGUCUCCUUUUCUUGCGAUACAAAUUACUUCUCUGUGAUGAAGAGUUAAGUCCUGGCAUGGAGACUGGACAGCUGGAAAAGCACAUGGGGAACGGAAGUUCAGAAGCUCAGAUGGUUUUGUCUGUUUGCCAUCA